AUUGAACGCUGGCGGAAUGCUUUACACAUGCAAGUCGAGCGGCAGCGCGGGGCAACCUGGCGGCGAGCGGCGAACGGGUGAGUAAUACAUCGGAACGUACCCAGUUGUGGGGGAUAGCCAGGCGAAAGCAGGAUUAAUACAGCAUACGAACUGAGGGUGAAAGAGGGGGAUCGCAAGACCACUCGCAGUUGGAGCGGCCGAUGGCGGAUUAGCGAGUUGGUGGGGUAAAGGCCUACGAAGGCGACGAUCCGUAGCGGGUCUGAGAGGACGGCCCGCCACAGUGGAACGGAGACACGGGACAGACUCCAACGGGAGGCAGCAGUGGGGAAUUUUGGACAAUGGGGGCAACCCGGAUGCAGCCAUUCCGCGUGAGUGAAGAAGGCCUUCGGGUUGUAAAGCUCUUUCGGCAGAAACGAAGCGGUCUUUUCUAAUACAAGAGGCUAAUGACGGUACUUUAAGAAGAAGCACCGGCUAACUACGUGCCAGCCGCCGCGGUAA
RNAcentral lists this ribosomal RNA (498 nucleotides) under uncultured bacterium. RNAcentral describes it as "partial 16S ribosomal RNA". It matches the Rfam family "Bacterial small subunit ribosomal RNA", at positions 29 to 523 of the family's 1533-position model. The record is from RNAcentral.